GCUCAUUUGGGAAGGGUGGUACAUAAGGACAACCUAAAAAAAUCGAGAGUAUUUUUACCUUUACAUAGAAAUUGUAAGGAACUGUUGUUUUCUUAUCAUUACGAAAUGCAACUCGGACUAGUACUACUUCCAAUUGUGGCAGCACGACUGGCCGACUAUUCUCACUCGACCCACAUUUCGAUAAUGAACGGAGACAAGUAUAAUAAAAGUCUCUGCAAAGGAACGUUGUAACCUUCGAGAACACCGCUUUUAUGAAUGGGUCCAAGUUUGUUAACCGGAUUUACAUCACAAGAAGAGUAUCAAGAGUAGCAGCAAUGUUUUUGACCAAUAUCACCAGGCGCAACGAAAUUUUGAUCAUACCUUACCUUCAAAGGAUAAAUGAGUUCAACCUACGCUACAAAAAGAGCAUGGAGGUUUCCGGCACCCAAAAGCCACCGCUUGUAAGCUUCACCGUCUGCUGUCUGCGUUACCAAAACCGUACUGCGCAACCGGCGAUGGCCGAAAUAUCCAAGGCUGAGGACGGACUUGAUUUAUAAGGGAGAGUAUUUAACACCCUUCUCUAUCGAAUCGCCGAUUGGACACAGGGUUCUUGUUUUUAGCUUUCACUCUAUCACUACUUUCACAGUAUCAACUACUGUGCAGAGAUUGCAGUGGAAACCUAAUUAUGAAAUCUUGCAAGAGGCGCAAUGUCAGCACUAUUGUGGGAGUUACCAGUUCAUGCCUUGCGGUGACAGAAACGGGGUGGAGAGAGUGUGUGCGAGUCCGCCAAUGUUGUUCAAUCGAUGUAAGGUUGAUGUCGAGUACUCUGUGGUUUUAAUAA
Drosophila montana is the source of this 820-nucleotide long non-coding RNA. RefSeq lists it as uncharacterized. The transcript has 3 exons. NCBI's taxonomy places the organism in Eukaryota, Metazoa, Arthropoda, Insecta, Diptera, Drosophilidae. The record is from RefSeq and is a predicted model, not a curated record.